Molecule: long non-coding RNA, 1430 nt
Organism: Helianthus annuus (common sunflower)
Lineage: Eukaryota; Viridiplantae; Streptophyta; Magnoliopsida; Asterales; Asteraceae
Exons: 2
Source: RefSeq, a predicted model, not a curated record
GUAGAAGGGUUUUUCAGUAAAUUACACAUAUUUGUGCCCACCAUAUAAAACCCUCAUCCUGGCCCAAUACACCCACCGUUGAAAGAAAGAUGCCAGGAGGUGGCCACCGCCCGGCCACACAUGUCGCCGGAAGCCGACCAUAGAUAAGGGAACUCCGUGGAAGUUCCACCAACUGUGUUGACGCGUCAACCCUAUCAAUCGAAAGCCUACAUCACCGUCAAGCUCAUGGCGACGAUCGUUUAUCUGGUUACAAGGCGGUGGUGGUUCAAUUGAGACCUCAGAUAGUCGGCGGCUAGGGUUCAUGACUCGAAGGUGAUGACGGAGAUGAUAUAGAUUAAGUUUCAGGCGAUCAAUCAUGUCAAACGAUGGUCGUUCAGAACAAAUGGACAGUCGGCGACGGUCAAAACAAGGGAACACAGGUGGUGGUGGUUUCACGGCGGUGAAGAUGAGUGGAAUCGGUGAUUUCGGUUGGCAGAUCUGGUAGCCGAGGGGCUGCUUGACCAAAAGGGAACACCUUCUUUCAAUCCUUACAGUCAUCGAUAUCAUUCUUCCUUUUAUUUACACUUCCGUUUUCAUCAGGAAUGGAAUGGUUGAGUGAAUACUGAAUACAUCUUAGAAGGUGCUGCAUGGGUUAAGUACUUAAGUGGCAACUACAUAAUGUUGAACCCAUCAUGAACCGAACCUGUCCUGACCCGGACCAAUAUGACCCUUUUUCAAAGCGCCCCAUCUUGACUCAUGAACCAACUCGACCCGCCUGUUUUGCCAGGUGUAAUUUAAGCUGUAUUUUCAUAGUAAAAAAAAAAAGUAAAGUCCUUUGUGGGCCACAAAAACUAUUAGAGAUGAAGAAAAUAGCCAGUUUUCUUUAUUAUACCAGAAGAAAGGCAGUCAAGUUGAAAGUAUAUUCUAUAAGUUUUUUUGAGGUUUAUAGAUUACAAAGUGUUGAGAACUAGACAGUUUAAGGUUGAGCAGAAUGGACAAACCAGAAUUAACCCGACAGAAAACAGACACGAGCUGGUCGCUGAGCAGUAUGCUGUUUCGGCUUGGCAAUCAAGCUUCCACUCUUCUCUAAGCUGGCGAAGGUGGUGGUGCCAAUGACAACUUAUUAUUCCGAGAAGUACAACCAAACCAGCAGCUUAUUUUUCCAAGAAGUACAACCAAACUAUGCAGCAAACGUCGGAGACAGGGUUCAAGAUUUAUUUGUAUCUUCUGUUGGUGCCGACCGAAAGGAUUGCUAAGGUGUUUAACCCCGUUGAGCCACAAGCUGAACCGGUUGUCUCCUCUAAGGGGUAGCUGUAGCACAUUAGCGAUGUAUUAUGUUGUGGUUUUAUUGUUGUGUAAAUGUAUGUUUUCCUCUAUUUUUCAUGUGAUAUCAUUUUUGUGUUUCAUCAUGAUAACAAGGCAAAAAUAAAAGGAUAUUGUAAAUUGCGCAA